UAGGGAAUAUUGGACAAUGGGGGAAACCCUGAUCCAGCCAUGCCGCGUGAGUGAUGAAGGCCUUAGGGUUGUAAAGCUCUUUCGGCGGGGAAGAUAAUGACGGUACCCGCAGAAGAAGCCCCGGCUAACUUCGUGCCAGCAGCCGCGGUAAUACGAAGGGGGCUAGCGUUGCUCGGAAUCACUGGGCGUAAAGCGCACGUAGGCGGAUUUCUAAGUCAGGGGUGAAAUUCUGGAGCUCAACUCCAGAACUGCCUUUGAUACUGGAAAUCUCGAGUUCGGGAGAGGUGAGUGGAACUGCGAGUGUAGAGGUGAAAUUCGUAGAUAUUCGCAAGAACACCAGUGGCGAAGGCGGCUCACUGGCCCGAUACUGACGCUGAGGUGCGAAAGCGUGGGGAGCAAAC
RNAcentral lists this ribosomal RNA (401 nucleotides) under uncultured bacterium. RNAcentral describes it as "bacterial SSU rRNA". It matches the Rfam family "Bacterial small subunit ribosomal RNA", at positions 355 to 773 of the family's 1533-position model. The record is from RNAcentral.